UGUACUUGAAAGUACAAUGCUUUGCAGCCAGAAGCACAGCCUUUGAAGCGCACCUAUGAAAUACACAGUAAUGAAAACACAGUUCUACUAAGUGUACUGUGCUUGCUGGUUACUAAAAAAAACAACACUUACCUUUCACUAUUUGAGUAACUUUUGUUCUGCCAUUUGCGUACUGGCGAGCGAUCUCCGAAUCUAGGAACAUAUCCUUCACAGAUUUGUUGUAGACAUCCGCAAAGGAGAACGGGAUGUUGCUUCCUGCUAUCAGCAUCGCCAUCUUUGUCUCAGCAUAAGUUGCACCAUCGGGUCUCCAUUUUGCGAGGUUGCUCAUAAUACUGGAUUGUGAACGAUGCUGCGCUGCAGACGCUUUGUUCUUCGCUGACCGUUCAUGACUGAGUAUAUCCGUUUGGCCACCGUGUUCAAUGGAGAAGUCUGUUCUACAAAAUUUACAGGCAACAUUCACCUUCGGACUUUCCUGGAUGAACUGAAAUUCUUGUUUCCAAUCGUUUUGGAACUUGCAAACGUAUUUCUUUAUUUUGCUCGUUGACUGCGUCGCCAUGGCUGUAACUUCCUCGUUCUUCUGAUUCGUCUCCUUGUGUGUGCAGUUUUUUAUUAAAAUCCGUAGAUGUUGUAACGUGAUUGGGCAGGCAAGCUGUUUAUAUAGUGGAAAAGCGGACGUGAAAACAGGUUGUCCCCACUCAGGUCCGCAUGGAGCUGGAGGGGGCGUGGCCUCCAGCUCCGGCUGAAUUUCAGGAGAUUUUCGGGAGAAAAUUUCUUCCGGUAGGUUUUCGGCAGAGGCGCUGAAUUUCGGGAGUCUCCCGGAAAAUCCGGGAGGCUUGGCAAGUAUGUCUAUCAGAGUUAUUAUGACAACAGCUGGAGUAAAACGCCCCCCAGUGUUGGUGUUGAUUUCCAUCGUUGAACGAGACAGUCUGAUUAGCCCCAACCUCCAGCCCCUCCUCGUGUCCACACCCUGAAAAUUUUUAUGGAAGCCUUUUUCUGAAUGUUUAGGGACUGUGGUAAGUCACUUCUCCUCUCUUACUAAAUCAAUUAUUUGUAAUUUGUAGCAUCAUGUCAGAAUUUACUUUAUAUUGUUGCUCAAUAUGUAAUGAAGUUAUUUGUGUACGGUUUUGUAUCUAAAAAAUAUGGUAUUCUAAAAGGGCUAAUGUCACCGAGUGAAUGCUAGCUUAAAUGUUAGCCACCUCAGACUUCGUUUUUGCGAGGGAUGUGGGACAAUUUUAAACAUUAUGUGGAAUAAAAUAUUUAAUAUGUAAAUUGUACAUAAUUAUGCUGUGGAGAUGUGGCGAAAAAAUUAGUGAGUAACCCUGGUCGAGGCACUAUUGAGCGUAGGUGGCCAGAGCACAAAAUCAUGAGGUGUGUGUGUAAGUAUUUUUGCUUCUACAUUGUUAAUGGAUAGGUUACUAAACACUCACCUGUUAGCUUAUGUGUUUUUUGAAUUGAGAGUGCAAUUUCACAUUUGUUGGCCCUUUUUUUGGUAGCCCCAUUUGAAAUUAUAUAUAGGAGUAUCAAGUCAUUAGGUUUUUCUAAUGAACAUUUUUCUAAUAUUUGUGUAUACAGUAUUUGUUUUGACUGGGCCUUUCAACUUUGGUUGUAUUUUUCGCUUCAAAAUAACUGAUUUGAAACUCAUUUAAAAAAUAUAUCAAAUGACCUGUCAGUUUCGGCUUUUUUUUCCUGUUUCCUAGCAUUUGCCAAAGGGACUGAGAUUGAUGUUUUUGAGGAAAUUGUGAAGUAUCCAUCCACUGAGAAUCAGUCUCCAAGGUACCUCUCCAAAGUCACAAUCAUCCAUUUGUUCAUCGGACUCAGACAAAAUCAUCCUUGAAGACACUCCUACCAGAAAGCGUCAGAGGCUGGACUCUGAAGCUAUGCAAGUGGUGAAAUCCAUUCUUACCAAGAAAUCGGGUGGAGAAUAUAUAAUAAAUGAAUACAACCGAACUAAGUCCUUGACAGAACAGAGCAGAAGAAAAUUGGUGAAUAUACUGACAGCUGAGAUGACGUAGAAGAAUGGGUAUUGGUUUUGAUUGGCAUGUGUUCUUAUUUAGGUUUCAGAGUAAUUUUAAAUCUAAAGUAAAUAAUAAACAUUUCACUACAUCUUAUAAAACGUGUGUUUGACGAAUAAGCUUGAAUGUUAUUUUUAUUUUUUUAAGUACAUCUCCGUCAAGACAGGUGAAGGAAAUGUAUGCACAAGGAAUUGUGAACUUUUUCCCCAACCUCAGAAACCCAUUUUCCAAGAACAGCUAUGUGAGUUACACACUCUUAAUUUUUGUUAUAGUCUUUAUUUUGAGUCGUCCCAAAGUAUGUUGCGACUAAUAGUGGCUAUUUUUGCAAUUCACUCAAAGGAACAUUUUUAUGAUAGCAACAGUGGUACUGGGUACUUGGCCUGUAGAAUUAAAACUAUUCAGAGAUGCAGUGCUAAAGAAAGGUGAUCAUCAUUUGGAAGUAAUCCUAUAUUAUUCUUGACAAAUAUAUUGGAUAGAAUAGUCAUAUGAGCACUUAUUGGUUUUGUUGCAUUUGUUGCAAUGCUUUUCAGCCAAUAGCCAAACAUUUUUUCAUAAAAGUUGGGUCACAUCCAGCUGACAAAGUGUUUUGAACUGUAUGUGAUUGUCAUGAGUCGUAUGUCCCCAUAUCGUUUAGCUUUGGCGGAAGGACCUUCUGAUAAAGACAAGUCGGGAGGACCAACUGUUGGAUGAGUUACCCAAUUCAUUCCAGAGAUUGUCCUGUCUGAAGAUGAGUGCAAGGAAGCGAUGUCACUGAUGAAACAUUCGGCUGAUGUGGACAUGGUCAUCAAAAAGAUGAAGUUGACAUUUGCCCAUCGGCAUAACAUGGUCCUGAAACAACAGCAGUCAAGCAACAUUCUAUCUUACUUUCCUCAUUUUAAAGACAUCAAAGGCUUGGUUGAAGAGGAUUUUGUUCUAAUGUUUGGAGAGGAUUAAUCUGGCAAGUUUCUGGAGAAGUGGCCAACCACAUUCAAAAAGAAGAUCAUCCAACAAUGCAGAAAGCUUCCCUCCAUCUUUGAGCUUGAGGAACUUCUGAUGCAAGCUGAACCUCCUGAGGAUGGGGCUGAAGUGAACGUUGACUUUGGUUGGGACAGUGACCUCUCAUCGUUUUUUGUGCUCUUACACUUGAUCCCACCGACUGCUCUAGGUCGGAAGAGGCCAGGAAAAGUUUCUGCAUCCCGGGCUGAGAAGCAUCUUGUGGUCUUCAAGAAGCAUCCAAGAACAUCUUGACACCAUUACUACCAGCACUUAACCCUAUCUCCUGGUUGAGGAAGAAUACAAUCCACCAGUUCUUCAUAAUUCUCGACAAGAAUGUCACACUUUGCAGGUCACACUCCUCUCUUUGUGCAUUUGAUGAACCUUUUAAAGCACACUUUGUGUUUGCGACAUCAUACCACACCAUACCCCACAACAUGUACACAUCCCUGCCUUACUCCAAACAAUUUGAUGUUCACAUGGCGUAUGGAAGAUUAUGUUCCACAUUGUAUGUUGUCCCAUAUUGCCAGGUCACCCUUUCUGUAUUCUGUCCCUAAAGUUGAUUGUCCUGCCUGACAAAAAAAU
Nerophis ophidion (straightnose pipefish) is the source of this 3569-nucleotide long non-coding RNA. RefSeq lists it as uncharacterized. The record is from RefSeq and is a predicted model, not a curated record. NCBI's taxonomy places the organism in Eukaryota, Metazoa, Chordata, Actinopteri, Syngnathiformes, Syngnathidae. The transcript is spliced from 6 exons.